GACGAACCGUGCGAACGUUGUUCGGAAUCACUGGGCUUAAAGGGCGCGUAGGCGGCCGACCAAGUCCGGGGUGAAAGCCCCCAGCUCAACUGGGGAAGUGCCUCGGAUACUGGCCGGCUCGAGGGAGGUAGGGGCGGAUGGAACUUCCGGUGGAGCGGUGAAAUGCGUUGAUAUCGGAAGGAACGCCGGUGGCGAAAGCGAUCCGCUGGCCCUCUACUGACGCUGAGGCGCGAAAGCCAGGGGAGCAAACGG
This 252-nucleotide ribosomal RNA is filed under the name uncultured prokaryote. RNAcentral's name for it is "partial 16S ribosomal RNA". It matches the Rfam family "Bacterial small subunit ribosomal RNA", at positions 524 to 775 of the family's 1533-position model. The record is from RNAcentral.